GUAGGUGGCAAGCGUUGUCCGGAAUUAUUGGGCGUAAAGCGCGCGCAGGCGGUUCUUUAAGUCUGACGUGAAAGCCCACGGCUCAACCGUGGAGGGUCAUUGGAAACUGGAGAACUUGAGUACAGAAGAGGAAAGCGGAAUUCCACGUGUAGCGGUGAAAUGCGUAGAGAUGUGGAGGAACACCAGUGGCGAAGGCGGCUUUCUGGUCUGUAACUGGCGCUGAGGCGCGAAAGCGUGGGGAGCAAACAGGAUUAGAUACCCUGGUAGUCCACGCCGUAAACGAUGAGUGCUAAGUGUUAGGGGGUUUCCGCCCCUUAGUGCUGCAGCUAACGCAUUAAGCACUCCGCCUGGGGAGUACGGCCGCAAAGGCUG
Molecule: ribosomal RNA, 372 nt
Filed under: uncultured organism
Description: partial 16S ribosomal RNA
Rfam family: Bacterial small subunit ribosomal RNA
Source: RNAcentral